ACUAAUGAUACUUGUAAUACCUCAAUUUUACCCGGUCCAAUAAAAGCAAAAAAAUAGAUAAAAUAAUAAAAUAAAAACAGUCCAUAGUGUUUGAUUACAAACGGGCUACAAGGCCCAAACCAAAACAAAGUUGUGGCCCAAAUACAGUGGCCCAAGACAGAGGAUGAAACCCUAGGGUUUCAAAUUUUCAACAGUGCCGCAACUGAGCCUCUGAAUCUUUACCGAUCGUCACCUGCAAGGAAACAAAACAAUAAAGGAAAUAAUCAAAGAUUUGUAAUCAAACAAUAUUUGUUUCUUGAUUUAUCUUAUUCAUUCGGCUAUAAAAUAAAGCCAUAAGCAUACUGUAAGGGAUUCGAUUUCAAAAUCAGAAAUAAAAAAGGCUCUAUAUUUCCAAAUACCAGCAGAGAAACAAAGGAAUCAAAGGUUGUUAUUUAUAUUUUUAUUGUCGUAUUUUUUUAUGCAUUUAUAUACAUACAAUUAAAAUAAAUAGAAAAGGAGGGAAAAAACCUGUUUACGAGCCCUAACCUCUACGGAUGGCCGAGGAAGUCAUCACCGAGGAAUGACGACCAGAAGCCGAAAGGUUUCUCUGCUUUUAGGGCCCCUUUUGUUAAUAUCUUGCGAGUUUUGAGCCCAGAUUUGGGCAAAGGGAGUCAAGGAGGUUAAAAGGAGGAUUUUUUCCUUUUCCUACCACCGCAUACAGUGGUGCCAGCGCCGGAGAGCGAUGGCCGGCGCGGUGGCCGGUGAUCGUCCGAUGACCGGCCCAUGGCCGGAGGAUAGAAAGGUUGAGAGAGUUUUUUAAAAGGUUUUUUU
RNAcentral lists this long non-coding RNA (810 nucleotides) under Gossypium raimondii (Peruvian cotton). RNAcentral's name for it is "long non-coding RNA (GRAI_LNC008657)". Lineage: Eukaryota; Viridiplantae; Streptophyta; Magnoliopsida; Malvales; Malvaceae. The record is from RNAcentral.